This 170-nucleotide ribosomal RNA is filed under the name Uropterygius alboguttatus. RNAcentral describes it as "partial small subunit ribosomal RNA". The record is from RNAcentral. Lineage: Eukaryota; Metazoa; Chordata; Actinopteri; Anguilliformes; Muraenidae.
CACCGCGGUUAUACGAGGGGCCCGAAUCGACACCCCACCGGCGUAAAGUGUGAUUAGAGAACCCAUAAACUAGAGCCAAACAUCCCCUAUGCUGUCAUACGCUAAUGGGGCCCACGAAGACCAACAACGAAAGUGGCUCUAUGCACCUUGAGCUCACGACAGCCAGGCCA